Molecule: non-coding RNA, 73 nt
Organism: Ixodes scapularis (black-legged tick)
Lineage: Eukaryota; Metazoa; Arthropoda; Arachnida; Ixodida; Ixodidae
Source: Rfam
UCCUGGUUAGCUCAUUUCGCAGAGCACUCCACUGGAAAUGGAGAGGUCCCUGGUUCGAUACCAGGACCAGGUG